GCCGGAGCCCUCGGGGUCUGGUCCAAUCGGAAGCGGCUGCGACGAUGGCGGCCGAGAGGGGACACGCCGGCAAAUGGUAGACAGUCCCCGGGGCGGCGAAGGAGAAGAGGACGGCCUGUGUCCCCGUAGGCCACCGGGAGGGUUAAUUUAAUACAAAUUCGGAGAGCGGAACCUGGCCGACUGUCAACUUUCCCAGGUGCUGUUACGAAGUGGAGGCUGAAGAACUAAAGUGUCUGGGAGCAGUCCCCUGCCUUUCGUGUCAUGGCCGCCGUGGCUCUGCAGUCUCUGCGCCUGCGCAGCUCGAGUACCAGCCUCCGUUUUUGUGGCAUCCUUCGGGACCUGAGAUCCCAAGCCCAGGAAGGGAACUCGAGUCCCAGAGAUUUACAUGAAAGCAGGAAACAAAGGUAACAUCCCUGGCAGAUGAUGCAGGCCUCAACUGCAGCUGACUAGCCCCCAUAAUUAACUGC
This is a long non-coding RNA of Hemicordylus capensis (graceful crag lizard), 467 nucleotides long. RefSeq lists it as uncharacterized. The record is from RefSeq and is a predicted model, not a curated record. NCBI's taxonomy places the organism in Eukaryota, Metazoa, Chordata, Lepidosauria, Squamata, Cordylidae. The transcript has 3 exons.